CUCUCCGUAACUCCUCCCCCGAUUAUUGUGGGAGGAGCCACCAACACCACCACCACCUCCAACCUCCCUCAGCUGUCAACUCAUCCGCUCGAUCCACCACCGCCACCACCACCACAGCCACCACCACCACAACCACCACGGCUAUGGCGUCUCUCGUGCACGCCCUGGACUGCGUCUUCACGCCCAGCCCAGGCGCUUGUGAGGAAGUCCUGGCGUGCGUCCAAAGGGUUCUAGGCGAGGCAGGCUUCAGGGGCUCAGCCCAGGCCCUGGGGCCAGGGCCUGGAGCCUGCGGCUCACUCAGCGGGGACGGAGAAACGUGUGCGUGUUUGUGUGUGUAGGUGUG
Molecule: non-coding RNA, 343 nt
Organism: Petromyzon marinus (sea lamprey)
Lineage: Eukaryota; Metazoa; Chordata; Hyperoartia; Petromyzontiformes; Petromyzontidae
Source: RefSeq, a predicted model, not a curated record